AGUGAACGCUGGCGGUAGGCCUAACACAUGCAAGUCGAACGGCAGCACAGUAAGAGCUUGCUCUUACGGGUGGCGAGUGGCGGACGGGUGAGGAAUACAUCGGAAUCUACUUUUUCGUGGGGGAUAACGUAGGGAAACUUACGCUAAUACCGCAUACGACCUACGGGUGAAAGCAGGGGAUCUUCGGACCUUGCGCGAUUGAAUGAGCCGAUGUCGGAUUAGCUAGUUGGCGGGGUAAAGGCCCACCAAGGCGACGAUCCGUAGCUGGUCUGAGAGGAUGAUCAGCCACACUGGAACUGAGACACGGUCCAGACUCCUACGGGAGGCAGCAGUGGGGAAUAUUGGACAAAGGGCGCAAGCCUGAUCCAGCCAUACCGCGUGGGUGAAGAAGACCUUCGGGUUGUAAAGCCCUUUUGUUGGGAAAGAAAAGCAGCAGGUUAAUACCCCGCUGUUCUGACGGUACCCAAAGAAUAAGCACCGGCUAACUUCGUG
This 492-nucleotide ribosomal RNA is filed under the name uncultured bacterium. Its description in RNAcentral is "partial 16S ribosomal RNA". It matches the Rfam family "Bacterial small subunit ribosomal RNA", at positions 29 to 507 of the family's 1533-position model. The record is from RNAcentral.